GGGGAGUAUGCUAGCGUUAAGCAUAAGCAUUGUAAGUGCUUUGAAGGCUUUGGCCCUUCCCCA
RNAcentral lists this transfer RNA (63 nucleotides) under Polyplax asiatica. RNAcentral's name for it is "tRNA-Tyr". Lineage: Eukaryota; Metazoa; Arthropoda; Insecta; Psocodea; Polyplacidae. The record is from RNAcentral.